GUGGGGAAUAUUGGACAAUGGGGGGAACCCUGAUCCAGCCAUGCCGCGUGUGUGAAGAAGGCCUUUUGGUUGUAAAGCACUUUAAGCGAGGAGGAGGCUACCGAGAUUAAUACUCUUGGAUAGUGGACGUUACUCGCAGAAUAAGCACCGGCUAACUCUGUGCCAGCAGCCGCGGUAAUACAGAGGGUGCAAGCGUUAAUCGGAUUUACUGGGCGUAAAGCGCGCGUAGGUGGCCAAUUAAGUCAAAUGUGAAAUCCCCGAGCUUAACUUGGGAAUUGCAUUCGAUACUGGUUGGCUAGAGUAUGGGAGAGGAUGGUAGAAUUCCAGGUGUAGCGGUGAAAUGCGUAGAGAUCUGGAGGAAUACCGAUGGCGAAGGCAGCCAUCUGGCCUAAUACUGACACUGAGGUGCAAAAGCAUGGGGAGCAAACAGGAUUAGAUACCCGUGUAGUCC
Molecule: ribosomal RNA, 451 nt
Filed under: uncultured bacterium
Lineage: Bacteria
Description: bacterial SSU rRNA
Rfam family: Bacterial small subunit ribosomal RNA
Source: RNAcentral